RNAcentral lists this ribosomal RNA (426 nucleotides) under uncultured Cellulomonadaceae bacterium. Its description in RNAcentral is "bacterial SSU rRNA". It matches the Rfam family "Bacterial small subunit ribosomal RNA", at positions 356 to 774 of the family's 1533-position model. Lineage: Bacteria; Bacillati; Actinomycetota; Actinomycetes; Micrococcales; Cellulomonadaceae. The record is from RNAcentral.
GGGGAAUAUUGGACAAUGGGCGAAAGCCUGAUCCAGCCAUGCCGCGUGUGUGAAGAAGGUCUUCGGAUUGUAAAGCACUUUAAGUUGGGAGGAAGGGUUUCUGGCUAAUAUCCAGGAAUUUUGACGGUACCUGCAGAAGAAGCGCCGGCUAACUACGUGCCAGCAGCCGCGGUAAUACGUAGGGCGCAAGCGUUGUCCGGAAUUAUUGGGCGUAAAGAGCUCGUAGGCGGUUAGUCGCGUCUGCUGUGAAAACUCGAGGCUCAACCUCGGGCUUGCAGUGGGUACGGGCUGACUAGAGUGCGGUAGGGGUGACUGGAAUUCCUGGUGUAGCGGUGGAAUGCGCAGAUAUCAGGAGGAACACCGAUGGCGAAGGCAGGUCACUGGGCCGCAACUGACGCUGAGGAGCGAAAGCAUGGGGAGCGAACA